Molecule: ribosomal RNA, 392 nt
Filed under: uncultured bacterium
Lineage: Bacteria
Description: partial 16S ribosomal RNA
Rfam family: Bacterial small subunit ribosomal RNA
Source: RNAcentral
AUACGGAGGAUCCGAGCGUUAUCCGGAUUUAUUGGGUUUAAAGGGUGCGCAGGCGGCCAUUUAAGUCAGCGGUUAAAUCGUGGGGCUCAACCCCAUUCUGCCGUUGAUACUGGGUGGCUUGAUUGCGGUCGAGGUUGGCGGAAUUCGUUGUGUAGCGGUGAAAUGCAUAGAUAUGACGAAGAACACCGAUUGCGUAGGCAGCUGACCAGACCGCAAAUGACGCUCAUGCACGAAAGUGCGGGGAUCGAACAGGAUUAGAUACCCUGGUCGUGCGCGCAGUAAACGAUGAAUACUUGUUUUCGGGGAUAUAAUGUCGGAGGCAAUGCGAAAGCGAUAAGUAUACCACCCGGGGAGUACACCUGCAACGGUGAAACUCAAAUGAAUUGCCGGGG